CACUAGACAAAAACCCCUAACAUGUAAAAAAAGAUGUGCAAUAUUAAUUAUAUUAUAAUUAUAAUCAAAAUCAAUCAAAUGUGCAUGUUUGUGGAUGUAAUCUCCAAUUAUCCUAAGAUUUAGUCUUAUUAACACUGUUGUUAAGAACAAGUUCCACAAAUAAAAUUUUUUAUAGACUAUCUUGAACUUUAUGCUCUUACUUAAACUUAUUUGGAGAUGGAAUAUUUCAAUGUAUAGAAAUAAUCAAAGAUACUAUGAGGGUUUUAUUUUUAUUAAUAUAAUUCUUCUACACAAGGAAAAUUAACUUGUUUCUCAAUGAGUAAAAUAAAAAAUGUCUCCUUACCUUUUUUUGUUUUGGUAGUCACACAAGAAAAAAUAAGACAAACGACGUAAAUAUUAUAAAAUCUACAGACAGGCUUUUUACGACAUAAGUAAUACUAAAUACAUAAAGUUUGGUCUCCUUUCUGGCUAAGGACUCGCAUAACUCGCACGCGAUAAUUUACAUUAAAGUACAACUUUCAUCUAAAGCGCAAAUAAUAUUUGCUAUAUGUUUUUAAUAAAUAUUGCAUAUUGCAAACAAUGCAUAUGUUGUUAUAUAUAAAUAACAUGAGAGAGAGAGAGAUAGAGAGAGAGAGAGAGAGAAGAUGCUAAUCUAAUUGUUUGUGGAGUGAUGAAUAAUAUAAUCUUAUUAUUAUGGAUUGACAGAGCGAUUAACAAUAAAAUACUUAAAAUGCUGUGUUUCUUCGACCCUCUAUAACCCAAUUAUUAUUAUAAAAUCUUUUCUAACGUACAUCUUGUAUUUCUUAAACAAUAAAUAAUUGACAUACUACUGUUUGAUUUUGUUCGAGACAAAAUCAUCUUCGAAAAUUGAUUAAUCUCUGUUGAGGCGCAAUGUCUUUCAGUGUAAUUUCUCUCAAUUCGCCUCUACAAAAAUCUAGCAAAAUCUAGCAUUAUUAAAGUAAUUGAUAUUAUUUAAAAGUUACGCUGGGUUAUAUAGGGUUAAAAAAAUAACUACCGGCUUAUAUAAAAAAUGCUAAUCAUUCGCACAAUCUGUAUACAUAAUAUAUAAUCUAUUGUCGCGCAGAAUGCCGUUACAUUUCGAUACUUGGUAAAAACAAUAUAUGUAUAUAUAUGUAGUGAUAUCGUCAUAUUUUUACAUAUAAAACGAUAAACUGGAUAAUCUUUUAGUAGCCCCACAAAGGAUAUCCAAUAUAAAUAACGGUAGGCUUGCGAAAAUUAAAUGGACUCACUGGAAGUACGUCUAAAAUAGACUGAAAAGUAGACCGAAAUCGAGUUAUUUACAAAGAUGUGAAAUCAAUGCUAUAUACAGGAAUGACAAUUCCUUCCAUGUGUCGAUGCAUCGACCGCCAAACUUGACAAAAUGACGAGGCAACAAAAUAUGAACAGUCAAUAUCUCUCAUCUUAAAUCUUAAGUAACAAUACGGAAGAUAGGCGGAUCAUAGAAUAUUAUCGGUACAUAUGUAAGUACAGCGAUACGUUCGUUUCGCGCAUGUAUCUCUCUCUCGAUUACAAAUUGCAGUUUAUUCUACACUCCAUUCCAUCUCUAUUUAUUCUAGCACGGCCAACAGUGUGUUUUACAUAUAUCUACAUAUGCAUAUAUAUAUGUGUAAAACACACGGUACAAUCUUUUUAUAUUAAUAAUAUUAUAUUGUAUAUUAAUCGUUUCUUAAUAUUGACCUCUCUUUUGUCCAUUUAGAAUGAGGCUAUUUAGUCUGUAAUAAUCGUGAACAUUAGUUAUUUAUGAUGUAUCUUCAAAGAACGGAUAUGAGGAUGUUUCAAGUACAGUUGGAUGCUUCUCGAAUGCUUCUGUCCUGAGAUAUUUUCGUUAUUCAACAUGCUUGUGCAUCGCUCAACUUUUCAAAUUUGAAUAUUCUUGCAAGAUUUUCGCGUGAAUGGACUCAUUCAUAAAAAAAAUAAAGUUUCUUUAACUUUGUUAAAAAUUUAGAUAAUAUAAAUGUUGGACGCGCGCGCGCGUGUGUGUGUGUGUGUGUGUGUUAUAAGAGCAAAUGCUGUAUUAAAUGCGUAUAUUAAGUAAUUAUUAAUUAAAAAAAAAAUCAUCAAAAAUUUCAAAAAAUCACAUGCUUUGUAAACGCGUUUUUAUUGAUCAACGUCACGAUACAAGAAAUAAGUUUGCAUUACAGGAAAAGUACAAUGGUAACAAUCGCAUGUGAUUGACUACAUUGUUAAAUCUACCAAUAUAAUGGAAAUUAUAUCGUAUCGUGACGUGACGAUUAAACGGCGGUACUAUUCCAAUGCUUCUUAUUUUUAAGUCAUUGAUACAUUGUUGUUACAGUUUUCUCGCACGUAUAAAUAUUUGUUAUAUCUGUCAUUAUUAAAACUUACAAUUUUGUUUGUAAUAAUAAAAAAAAAAAAAUUAAAUCCAAUAAAAAAUGAGUCCCAUUAAAAAAAUUAAAUGUUACAAACCCAAAAUAACGUAAAAUUACGAUCGGUACAAUUACAGUCAGCAAUUUUUUGAUCGCACUAAGUAAUAUUACAUCGUACUUAAGAGCUACUGGCAUAGAGUCCUGAGACAGUUGUCCGCUUGUACCAAUCCUUAUGAUUCUCUUAGUAUCUUUUUAAUGGAUAUAUCAAUUAUUUCAUAUUUGUAUCAAUAGAUAUAUCAAUUAUUCUCAAAUAAUAAUAUUUCAAAACGUAUUCGAUACGUUUACUUGUUUCAGAGCGUUUCAGGUGAUUUAAAUUUCAAUAAUUUAAUUUUCCUUGGAGACAACUAUAAGCUAUAGCUAUAAGAGAAGAAAAAAAAUCGAUAAUAAUGAUGUAAAUAUUGUAAAAAUGUCUUUGUCAAUUAAGAAGCAUGAAUAUAUUCGUUCUUUGAAAUAAAUUAGUCCCGUUUAAUCUUCUACUUUGCAUACUGGCACUUUGCCUACUCGUUAUACAAAAAUAACGAAAGCAUUCCAGUCUCAUAACAUAUACGCCACGUUAUUUAAAAUCUAAUUCGCACAUAUCAAUUUACAAGGAAAUAGUUUAAAACGCCCUGGGUCAAUGAUAAUAUUUUCUCGCGUCGUCUUUAUCGUCAAAUUUUUAACAUUAUCCUUAAUUUCGAUACAUUGCACUUAAUACAUAUAUUGAUGUGUAGUCCCUUUAUAUAUUUGGUAAUCGCCAAAAAACUACAUAUACGCUGUUUUCCUAUUUCACAUACACAUGGGUGUUAUCAAAUCCGCAUUAAAAUUGAUUAAAAUUAAUUGAUAAUUAUGCCUUCAGAGAACGAACGGACACAAAUCAUGUCAAAAGACAGUCUCUCUUUUCGUCUUAGUUCCAGUUGGAGUACACUCGAUACACAUGAUACAUAUUUCGGUUAUUCGUGUAUCCUCGACACAACGACAUUGCGCGUAGAGCAUAUAGAUGAGUGCAAUGAUCUUUCAUCUUAACAACUACUUAUUAUCAGCAGGAGCUUGCGACACAUUACACGAUCAUUCUACUAUUCACACGCGGAAUAAUACCAUGUACAUUAUAGUGCAUUAUGAUGCAAUAGAAAACACUUAGUCAUAAGGCAUCGAAUCGAUUCGUGCUCCAUUUACUUUGUUAAACUGUCGAUAAACCGGGAAUAGCACGAGACGUAAUAAACACUACUCUGAAAGCGAAAGAUCGAAUAAGUAAUUUCGUGAGCAAUAAGCUCCAGCUUUGUUAUUUAGUUCGUACAAAACGAUUCAAACGCCAACGAGCAUUUAUUCGUAUGUGUGCUACGCUGACGACAAAAAAAAAAGAAUUAUUUCGUUAUGCGUAAUGUGUUAUUAUUAUUAGACUAUUUUUGAGACUAAUUAUUCAUCACUCAUUACAAUGUAAAAAUCGCGCGGCUAUUCCGGGUAUAACAGUAUAUUCAUGCAUUCGCAACUACUGUCUCUUUAUCUAAAAUCGAGAGUACGCACAAUAUAUUAAAUAGUUUUAAUUUUAUUGCUAGUUAAGUUGACUGAGAUUCAAAUUUUGUCACAUAAAAUGUGAAAUUAUUCUCGUUAAAAAAAAAAAAAAA
Molecule: long non-coding RNA, 4006 nt
Organism: Linepithema humile (Argentine ant)
Lineage: Eukaryota; Metazoa; Arthropoda; Insecta; Hymenoptera; Formicidae
Source: RefSeq, a predicted model, not a curated record